RNAcentral lists this ribosomal RNA (381 nucleotides) under marine copepod environmental sample. Its description in RNAcentral is "SSU rRNA". It matches the Rfam family "Eukaryotic small subunit ribosomal RNA", at positions 587 to 972 of the family's 1831-position model. Lineage: Eukaryota; Metazoa; Arthropoda; Copepoda. The record is from RNAcentral.
AGCUCCAAUAGCGUAUAUUAAAGUUGUUGUGGUUAAAAAGCUCGUAGUUGGAUCUCAACAGUCCUGUGUCGGUCUACUUUGUGUAGUACUGAUUCCGGUCUGUGCUUUUGCCGGAGGUUUAGGGGUGCUCUUAACCGAGUGUCUCUGAGUGCCGGCAGGUUUACUUUGAAAAAAUUAGAGUGUUUAAAGCAGGCUGUUAUGCCUGAAUAUUUGUGCAUGGAAUAAUAGAAUAGGAUGUUGAUCUUAUUUUGUUGGUUUUCGAGACUUGACAUAAUGAUUAAUAGGGACAGUCGGGGGCAUUUGUAUUCAAAUGACAGAGGUGAAAUUCUUGGACCAUUUGAAGACAAACUACUGCGAAAGCAUUUGCCAAGAAUGUUUUCA